GCACCACUGAAGAGUCCCACAAUAGGACGAAACGGCUGUCCUGUGC
RNAcentral lists this non-coding RNA (46 nucleotides) under Schistosoma mattheei. Lineage: Eukaryota; Metazoa; Platyhelminthes; Trematoda; Strigeidida; Schistosomatidae. The record is from RNAcentral.